UGCCAGCAGCCGCGGUAAUACGGAGGGGGCUAGCGUUGUUCGGAAUUACUGGGCGUAAGGCGCGCGUAGGCGGAUUAGUCAGUUGGAGGUGAAAUCCCGGAGCUCAACUCCGGAAUUGCCUUCAAUACUGCUAGUCUUGAGUUCGAGAGAGGGUGGUGGAAUUCCCAGUGUAGAGGUGAAAUUCGUAGAUAUUGGGAAGAACACCAGUGGCGAAGGCGACUUCCUGGGCCAAUACUGACGCUGAGGCGCGAAAGCGUGGGUAGCAAACAGGAUUAGAUA
RNAcentral lists this ribosomal RNA (279 nucleotides) under uncultured bacterium. RNAcentral's name for it is "partial 16S ribosomal RNA". It matches the Rfam family "Bacterial small subunit ribosomal RNA", at positions 506 to 784 of the family's 1533-position model. The record is from RNAcentral.